GACGAACGCUGGCGGCGUGCUUAAUACAUGCAAGUCGAGCGAGGCCCAUCCGGUGGCAACACCGGGGAAGGCCGAGCGGCGAACGGGUGAGUAACACGUGAGCAACCUGCCCCGAAGUCUGGAAUAACAUCGGGAAACCGGUGCUAAUACCGGAUCGCCCCACCUGACCGCAUGAUCGGGUGAGGAAAGAUUUAUCGCUUCGGGAGGGGCUCGCGGCCUAUCAGCUAGUUGGUGGGGUAACGGCCUACCAAGGCGUCGACGGGUAGCUGGUCUGAGAGGACGACCAGCCACACUGGGACUGAGACACGGCCCAGACUCCUACGGGAGGCAGCAGUAGGGAAUCUUGCGCAAUGGGCGAAAGCCUGACGCAGCAACGCCGCGUGGGGAUGACGGCC
Molecule: ribosomal RNA, 395 nt
Filed under: uncultured bacterium
Lineage: Bacteria
Description: bacterial SSU rRNA
Rfam family: Bacterial small subunit ribosomal RNA
Source: RNAcentral